Molecule: transfer RNA, 75 nt
Filed under: Sutterella megalosphaeroides
Lineage: Bacteria; Pseudomonadati; Pseudomonadota; Betaproteobacteria; Burkholderiales; Sutterellaceae
Description: tRNA-Arg
Rfam family: tRNA
About the family: Transfer RNA (tRNA) molecules are approximately 80 nucleotides in length.
Source: RNAcentral
CUCCACGUGGUGAAAUGGAUAUCAUACGGCCCUCCGAAGGCUGCGUUACAGGUUCGAUUCCUGUCGUGGGGACCA